CCCUACGGGGUGCACCAGGCGCGAAACCUCUGCAAUAGGCGAAAGCUUGACAGGGUUACUCUGAGUGAUUUCCGUUAAGAAGAUCUUUUGACACCUCUAAAAAUGGUGUAGAAUAAGGGGUGGGCAAGUCUGGUGUCAGCCGCCGCGGUAA
RNAcentral lists this ribosomal RNA (151 nucleotides) under uncultured crenarchaeote. Its description in RNAcentral is "partial 16S ribosomal RNA". It matches the Rfam family "Archaeal small subunit ribosomal RNA", at positions 321 to 473 of the family's 1478-position model. Lineage: Archaea; Thermoproteati; Thermoproteota. The record is from RNAcentral.